CCCACAGCUGAGGACCCUGGCCAUGCCCCUCCUCAUCCCGUAGCCAGGCUCUGCCUGCUCCCACGACCUUACCAGCUGCACACCCUCCUUUCUGGAUCCUUCCAGCCUCCUAAGGAGGGCACUGCAGUCAGCCAUGCUUUAUGUCCAGCAGAGGGCCUUCUAGAGGGGUCACCACAGAGCACUGCUUCAUCUCUCUCCACAGCAGUCUUUCCCAGGCUUCACCAACCCCAGGCCUCACCUUCCUGCCAAGCUCAUGCUAGGCCUCACCUUCGGGCAAGCCCACUCCAGCCUCACCAAUUCCAGGCAUCACCUUCCCGCCAAGCCUGCCCUAGGCAUC
RNAcentral lists this long non-coding RNA (337 nucleotides) under Heterocephalus glaber (naked mole-rat). Its description in RNAcentral is "lncRNA (ENSHGLG00000030573.2)". The record is from RNAcentral. Lineage: Eukaryota; Metazoa; Chordata; Mammalia; Rodentia; Bathyergidae.